Molecule: ribosomal RNA, 497 nt
Filed under: uncultured bacterium
Lineage: Bacteria
Description: partial 16S ribosomal RNA
Rfam family: Bacterial small subunit ribosomal RNA
Source: RNAcentral
GAUGAACGCUGGCGGCGUGCCUAAUACAUGCAAGUCGAGCGAACGGACGAGACUCUUGCAUCUCUGAUGUUAGCGGCGGACGGGUGAGUAACACGUGGAUAACCUACCUAUAAGACUGGGAUAACUUCGGGAAACCGUAGCUAAUACCGGAUAAUAUUUUGAACCGCAUGGUUCAAAAGUGAAAGACGGUCUUUCUGUCACUUAUAGAUGGAUCCGCGCUGCAUUAGCUAGUUGGUAAGGUAACGGCUUACUAAGGCAACGAUGCAUAGCCGACGUGAGAGGUUGACAGGCCGCAAUAGACGUGAAACACAGACCUGACUCCUACGGGAGGCAGCAGUAGGGAAUCGUACGCAAUACGCGGAUGCCUGACGUAGCGGCGCAGCGUGAGGGGUGACGGUAUUCCGCUCGUAAAACGUUCCUAUUAGGGAAGAACGUCUUUGAAAGUAACUGUAGACAGAGUGACGUUAGCAAGUCAAAAAGCAUCGGCUAGCUCCGUG